RNAcentral lists this ribosomal RNA (247 nucleotides) under uncultured bacterium. RNAcentral's name for it is "partial 16S ribosomal RNA". It matches the Rfam family "Bacterial small subunit ribosomal RNA", at positions 15 to 236 of the family's 1533-position model. The record is from RNAcentral.
GAUCAUGGCUCAGGACGAACGCUGGCGGCGUGCUUAACACGUGCAAGUCGAACGAAAAGACGGAAAGAGCUUGCUCUUUUCAGAAUUGAGUGGCAAACGGGUGAGUAACACGUAAACAACCUGCCUUCAGGAUGGGGACAACAGACGGAAACGACUGCUAAUACCGAAUAAGUUCCAAGAGCCGCAUGGCCCAUGGAAGAAAAGGUGGCCUCUACCUGUAAGCUAUCGCCUGAANAGGGGUUUGCGU